RNAcentral lists this transfer RNA (65 nucleotides) under Psephenothrips eriobotryae. RNAcentral describes it as "tRNA-His". Lineage: Eukaryota; Metazoa; Arthropoda; Insecta; Thysanoptera; Phlaeothripidae. The record is from RNAcentral.
UAUUUCAUAAAAACUAUUUUUUUUAAUAUCACAAAUUAACGUUUUAAACUUUAAACUAAUGAAAU